AACGAACGCUGGCGGCAUGCUUAACACAUGCAAGUCGAACGUGAAACUGGGGCUUGCUCCAGUGGAAAGUGGCGGACGGGUGAGUAACGCGUAGGGAACGUGCCUUAUGGUUGGGGAUAACCGGGGGAAACUCUGGCUAAUACCGAAUGAGCUCUCGGGGCCCUAGGGCCCUGCGAGGAAAGAGGGGCAACUCUCGCCAUCAGAUCGCCCUGCGUCCCAUCAGCUUGUUGGUGAGGUAACGGCUCACCAAGGCAACGACGGGUAGCUGGUCUGAGAGGAUGAUCAGCCACACUGGGACUGAGAUACGGCCCAGACUCCUACGGGAGGCAGCAGUGGGGAAUAUUGGACAAUGGGCGAAAGCCUGAUCCAGCAAUGCCGCGUGUGUGAUGAAGGCCCUAGGGUUGUAAAGCACUGUCGGGAGGGACGAAAAAGCCGGGGUAACGCCCGGAACUUGACGGUACCUCCUAAGGAAGCACCGGCUAACUCUGUGCCAGCAGCCGCGGUAAUACG
This 510-nucleotide ribosomal RNA is filed under the name uncultured bacterium. RNAcentral's name for it is "bacterial SSU rRNA". It matches the Rfam family "Bacterial small subunit ribosomal RNA", at positions 29 to 527 of the family's 1533-position model. The record is from RNAcentral.